CAACUCCCAAACCCCUGUGAACAUACCAUUUUGUUGCCUCGGCGGUGCCUGUUCCGACAGCCCGCCAGAGGACCCCAAACCCAAACUUCCUUGAGUGAGUCUUCUGAGUAACCGAUUAAAUCAAUCAAAACUUUCAACAACGGAUCUCUUGGUUCUGGCAUCGAUGAAGAACGCAGCGAAAUGCGAUAAGUAAUGUGAAUUGCAGAAUUCAGUGAAUCAUCGAAUCUUUGAACGCACAUUGCGCCCGCCAGUAUUCUGGCGGGCAUGCCUGUUCGAGCGUCAUUACAUCCCUCAAGCCCCCGGGCUUGGUGUUGGGGAUCGGCGAGCCUUAGCGCCCGCCGUCCCCUAAAUUUAGUGGCGGUCACGCUGUAACUUCCUCUGCGUAGUAGCACACUUAGCACUGGGAAACAGCGCGGCCACGCCGUAAAACCCCCCAACUUUUGAACGUUUGACCUCGAAUCAGGUAGGACUACCCGCUGAACUUAAGCAUAUCAAUAANNGGAGGA
RNAcentral lists this ribosomal RNA (506 nucleotides) under Neonectria sp. Pd X nig 6. RNAcentral's name for it is "eukaryotic LSU rRNA". The stretch from base 129 to 282 matches the Rfam family "5.8S ribosomal RNA". The record is from RNAcentral. Lineage: Eukaryota; Fungi; Ascomycota; Sordariomycetes; Hypocreales; Nectriaceae.